AGAGUUUGAUCCUGGCUCAGGAUGAACGCUAGCGGCAGGCUUAACACAUGCAAGUCGAGGGGUAUAGGUUUUCGGACCUAGAGACCGGCGCACGGGUGCGUAACGCGUAUGCAAUCUACCUUUUACAGAGGGAUAGCCCAGAGAAAUUUGGAUUAAUACCUCAUAGUAUUAUUGAAUGGCAUCAUUUAAUAAUUAAAGUUCCAACGGUAAAAGAUGAGCAUGCGUCCCAUUAGCUAGAUGGUAAGGUAACGGCUUACCAUGGCAACGAUGGGUAGGGGUCCUGAGAGGGAGAUCCCCCACACUGGUACUGAGACACGGACCAGACUCCUACGGGAGGCAGCAGUGAGGAAUAUUGGUCAAUGGGCGCAAGCCUGAACCAGCCAUGCCGCGUGCAGGAUGACGGUCCUAUGGAUUGUAAACUGCUUUUGUACAGGAAGAAACAGUUCUACGUGUAGAACCUUGACGGUACUGUAAGAAUAAGGAUCGGCUAACUCCGUGCCAGCAGCCGCGGUAAUACGGAGGAUCCAAGCGUUAUCCGGAAUCAUUGGGUUUAAAGGGUCCGUAGGCGGUUUUGUAAGUCAGUGGUGAAAGCCCAUCGCUCAACGGUGGAACGGCCAUUGAUACUGCAAGACUUGAAUUACUAGGAAGUAACUAGAAUAUGUAGUGUAGCGGUGAAAUGCUUAGAUAUUACAUGGAAUACCAAUUGCGAAGGCAGGUUACUACUAGUGGAUUGACGCUGAUGGACGAAAGCGUGGGGAGCGAACAGGAUUAGAUACCCUAGUAGUCC
RNAcentral lists this ribosomal RNA (787 nucleotides) under uncultured bacterium. RNAcentral's name for it is "bacterial SSU rRNA". It matches the Rfam family "Bacterial small subunit ribosomal RNA", at positions 8 to 796 of the family's 1533-position model. The record is from RNAcentral.